CUGCUCAGUGCGGGACUCGAACCCAUGACAGAAGUGGAGUUGAAUGCGGAUGUCCACGGCGCAGUGACAGUGAUAAGGAACUGCAGUCUCGGGAUGUGCUCGUUUUGAGUCCGACGAGAUUCUGCAAAAUUCAGUCGCGGAGGACGAUCGUUAAACUGGCGUGAAUAAUUUCGCGAGUGGAGAACGUCUUCCUCCUAAAUACUAAGAGAAGAAUUCUGACUGCAGGAAAAUGGGAAGCACAGUGAUGGACUCCAAGAAAAAGGACUGUGCAAAGAAAUCCUCAAAGAAAAAGCGAGCUCUGCGACUAAACAUGCCAGAUUUGAGCACAUUCACAUCCUCCCUUAAGGACGGGGAGACUCACGGAGCAGAUAAAGAUGAAAUGCACAAGGGUGACAGAAGUGACUCGGCUAGCCCACGUUUGAAGCCUCCUUCCAGCCAACCCUUUACCCCAGCUUCAGCUCCCAUAUUAGCCAGGACCAGUCCAGGCACUCCUAAAACCAUCUUCCCAUAUCCACUAUCAUCUCACCAGAACUCACCUCCCAAAUCUCCCCGCCGUCUCAGUUUCAGUGGUAUCUUCCGCUCCUCGUCCAGCUCAGCCCCUGCCAGCAUCAAGCUCUUCUCCAAAUCUAGAAAAGGCUCUGGGCUUUCCACCCCCCCCACCACUCCGACCCAGAGUCCCGUUCCACCGGUCUUCCCUAUGGAGACCCCCAGUCCUGCGGAGCACGUGGAGGAACGACGCUCCCGCUCUCUCUCGUCUCCCCCUGACACAGGCCAGCGCUUCAGCCUGAGCACCUCCACCACCAAACCCCCUAUCGCCUCCUACACCUUUAACUCUACCUCACGCCAGAGCUGUGUACUUGCUGAAGGCAUGCUGGAAAAACUUGAACUUGACAAUGAAGCUGCUGAAGAGCCAGACAGUGACAUUUACAUGCACUUUAUGAAAUCCCACAAGUGCUAUGACCUGAUCCCCACCAGUUCCAAACUAGUGGUCUUUGACACUACAUUACAGGUAAAGAAAGCUUUCUUCGCCUUGGUUGCUAAUGGAGUUCGAGCUGCGCCAUUAUGGGAAACCAAAAAGCAAAGCUUUGUGGGAAUGUUAACCAUCACAGACUUCAUCAUCAUCCUGCACAGAUACUACAAAUCGCCGCUGGUGCAAAUAUAUGAGCUGGAGGAGCACAAGAUUGAGACUUGGAGAGAACUUUACUUGCAAGAAACGUUUAAACCCUUAGUCAACACAUCUCCAGAUGCAAGUAUAUUCGAUGCUGUUUACUCGCUCAUCAAAAAUAAGAUCCAUCGUUUGCCAGUGAUCGAUCCGGUCACAGGAAACGCCCUCUAUAUCCUCACACACAAGAGGAUCCUCAAGUUUCUGCAGCUCUUUGUGUGUGAGAUGCCUAAACCAGCCUUCAUGAGGCAGACUCUGGAGGAGCUGGGCAUUGGCACAUACAGCAACAUCGCUUUCAUUCACCCAGAUACACCCAUUAUUAAAGCACUGGGCAUGUUUGUGGAGAGGAGAGUGUCUGCGCUGCCGGUGGUGGAUGUUACAGGAAAGGUUGUAGACAUUUACUCCAAAUUUGAUGUCAUUAACCUGGCAGCUGAGAAGACCUACAAUAACCUGGACAUCACCGUGACUCAGGCUCUGCUGCAUCGCUCACAGUACUUCGAGGGCGUUAUGAAGUGUUAUCGACACGAGACCCUGGAUACUAUAGUGGACAGGAUCGUCAAAGCUGAGGUGCACAGGCUGGUAGUGGUGGAUGAUAACUCCAGCAUCGAGGGCAUCAUCUCUCUUUCUGAUAUCCUGCAGGCGCUGGUUCUCACCCCCGCAGGUAUAGACGCACAGAAUUCCUAAAUCAACCCUCCAUUUCACUUUCCUUCUCCCUCUCCACUCUUCCCCGGACCCAAUCUCCUGGACAUCUAUCACUCGAGUGUCCCUCUCUGACCCCCUGAGCACAGGAGGACGCAGAAGGGACAGUGUGACUGAAUGACAAGACAAUAUUUUGGAGAAACACAAAAAAUUCAGAGAACCGAAAAGGUCCAGCUGGCAUUCCUGACGGGAUACAGAGAAAAGGACAGCGGGAUUUUUUCUCGAUCCUCAUUUAAGGUCUGGGAUUUGUGGGGGGCUGAAUGAAACUGCAGUUUGAAUCUGCAGCUGAAGGAACGGACAUGUUGAUGGUGGGCCGGCUGUGAGAAUCUGCCGCUUUACUGUACACUGCUUUAGAUGCUGGGCAUGUUUGCCUGCUGGUGCUGCUGGUUUUAGAGGUGCUCACUGACAGCACUAAAUCAGGCACAGGGUGGAAGUCUUUUUUUGUGUUCUAGCUGGGUCUGCAUUAUAUCAUCAGGCACUGUAAUCCACUCUUGGUUGAGCGUCUGAAGUGGAAAUUUGCCUUAAAUGAAGCCCUCAGUGAGAGUUGAUUGUAGAGGUUAGCAGAGAUCCAAAGAUGUGCUUGUACUGCAAAAGCAGGCUCUUGAUUCUUCAGCAAUAAGUUGCUGUCGGUUCGAAGAACCUGCUUGACUCUGUAGACAUCUGCCCAUUUCUUUUCUCACUUUCUUGAAAAUACUUCCAAGUCGCAUUUCAUCCCAAAAUGAAAAGAAGAAAUAUAUAACGGAAAAUGGAACAUAAAGCAAAAUAAUGUGAUUUGUGAUUUCAUGACAAUUAAUCAUACUUCCCUGCAGUUUUUAUUAUUGCAAUACAACAUCUCAUUCUUAUAAUUUUUUAUUAUUAUUAUUAUUUAUAUAUUAUAGAAACAAUAAAACAUGUAUAUAUUAAAGUAUUUAUACUAUUACCUGUCAUUUAAAAUAACUACAUUAAUAAUUUAAUAUUACAUAGUUGUCAUGAAAAUAAUGUAGUAAUUAUUUUCAGAAGUGAUUCUCAUUAGUUGGUCAUUUGUUUUGUUUUUUUAAUUCUGCUUAAAUUACAGGUGAUAGAACAAAUACUAUAAUAUAUACAUGUCUUAUUAAUAAAUAAACAACUACAUUAAAUAAAGAGAAUGAUGUUUUGUAUUGCAAUAAUUAAAAUUGUGGGGAAAUAUGCUUGCUUACAUGAAAAUAAUCUAACAAGCACAAAACAAAAAUAAUAAAAAAAAAAAUAUGGGGUAAUAUAUAUAUGAUAUAGCCCGGACACAUUCUUGACAAGUUUAAUGAGAUUUAUCCGAAUAUUAUUAUUUUUCCCGUUAACACUGGACUAUUAGUCCAAAAUGUCUGCUGAAUAUGAAUAGUUUUUUCAUCCUAUUAGUUGUCAGUGGAAAAAUGAAUGUACUACCACACUGCAUACGCACUGACAGUCAUGGACUGUAUUUUUACUGGAACAAAGAAUGUUAUGAAAAGUGACUAUAUAUACAGAGCCUUAUUUUUCUAUUAUGACUGUCUGAAGUGUUUGGCUGCGUGGGAAAGUGUGUGCACUACCAUUAAAACAGCAUGAAUGUCAAAGCCUGCAGUUGCAAAAAUAGCCAUUGCAUCUUUGCACCCCAGUGAUAUGCUGAGCUACUGUAAAUACAACAUGCCAUGUAAUGGGUUCAAAACUGAUAAAUCAUGUAUUGUUUGAUUGCAUUUUUUUCAUUGCAACCACUGACGGUGAAAGUUAAGACCGUUAGGUCUGGAGAGAAAGAAAUGUACAUUUUUGUACACAGAAAUGACACUAUAUUUUAUUUUUUAUGUGGUUGAGCUAAAAUAUAUUGAUAAUGCAUUAA
RNA transcript from Cyprinus carpio (common carp), 3683 nucleotides. It is a transcript of the gene named 5'-AMP-activated protein kinase subunit gamma-1-like, with no coding region annotated. The record is from RefSeq and is a predicted model, not a curated record. Lineage: Eukaryota; Metazoa; Chordata; Actinopteri; Cypriniformes; Cyprinidae.